AUUGCCUUUCCCGCAAGGGACUAGAGUCGAGGUGCUGCAUGGCUGUCGUCAGCUCGUGUCGUGAGAUGUUGGGUUAAGUCCCGCAACGAGCGCAACCCUUGUCCUGUGUUGCCAUUCCGCAAGGAGGCACUCUCAGGAGACCGCCAGCGAUAAGUUGGAGGAAGGUGGGGAUGACGUCAAGUCAUCAUGGCCUUUAUGUCCAGGGCUACACACGUGCUACAAUGGGCGGUACAAAGCGCAGCAAACCCGCGAGGUGGAGCCAAUCCCAGAAAACCGAUCUCAGUCCGGAUCGGAGUCUGCAACUCGACUCCGUGAAGUCGGAAUCGCUAGUAAUCGCGAAUCAGCUAUGUCGCGGUGAAUACGUUCCCGGGCCUUGUACACACCGCCCGUCACACCAUGGGAGUUGGCUGCACCAGAAGCAGGUAGUCUAACCGCAAGGAGGACGCCUACCACGGUGUGGUCAAUGACUGGGGUGAAGUCGUAACAAGGUAACCGUAA
This 498-nucleotide ribosomal RNA is filed under the name uncultured Lysobacteraceae bacterium. RNAcentral describes it as "bacterial SSU rRNA". It matches the Rfam family "Bacterial small subunit ribosomal RNA", at positions 1007 to 1505 of the family's 1533-position model. Lineage: Bacteria; Pseudomonadati; Pseudomonadota; Gammaproteobacteria; Lysobacterales; Lysobacteraceae. The record is from RNAcentral.